This 432-nucleotide ribosomal RNA is filed under the name uncultured bacterium. RNAcentral's name for it is "partial 16S ribosomal RNA". It matches the Rfam family "Bacterial small subunit ribosomal RNA", at positions 29 to 506 of the family's 1533-position model. The record is from RNAcentral.
AACGAACGCUGGCGGCAUGCCUAACACAUGCAAGUCGAACGAGACCUUCGGGUCUAGUGGCGCACGGGUGCGUAACGCGUGGGAACCUGCCCUUAGGUUCGGAAUAACUCCCCGCAAGGGGUGCUAAUACCGGAUAAUGUCUUCGGACCAAAGAUUUAUCGCCUUUGGAUGGGCCCGCGUUGGAUUCGCUAGUUGGUAGGGUAAAAGCCUACCAAGGCGACGAUCCAUAGCUGGUCUGAGAGGAUGAUCAGCCACACUGGGACUGAGACACGGCCCAGACUCCUACGGGAGGCAGCAGUGGGGAAUAUAGGACAGUGGGCGAAAGCCUGAGCCAGCGAGGCCGCGUGAGUGAUGAAGGCCUUAGGGUUGUAAAGCUCUUUUACCCGGGAUGAUAAGGACAGUACCGGGAGAAUAAGCUCCGGCUAACUCCGU